GUGCUAGUUUUGGCAGCACACAUACUAAAAUUGUUAAUGACAGACAGAAGACUGAUUAGCAUGGCCCCAGUGUAAGGAUUACACAUUUGUGAAGCAUUCCAUAUUUUU
Molecule: small nuclear RNA, 108 nt
Organism: Grammomys surdaster
Lineage: Eukaryota; Metazoa; Chordata; Mammalia; Rodentia; Muridae
Source: RefSeq, a predicted model, not a curated record